AACGAACGCUGGCGGCAUGCCUAACACAUGCAAGUCGAACGAUCCCUUCGGGGAUAGUGGCGCACGGGUGCGUAACGCGUGGGAACCUGCCCUUAGGUUCGGAAUAACUCAGAGAAAUUUGAGCUAAUACCGGAUAAUGUCUUCGGACCAAAGAUUUAUCGCCUUUGGAUGGGCCCGCGUUGGAUUAGCUAGUUGGUGGGGUAAAGGCCUACCAAGGCGACGAUCCAUAGCUGGUCUGAGAGGAUGAUCAGCCACACUGGGACUGAGACACGGCCCAGACUCCUACGGGAGGCAGCAGUGGGGAAUAUUGGACAAUGGGCGAAAGCCUGAUCCAGCAAUGCCGCGUGAGUGAUGAAGGCCUUAGGGUUGUAAAGCUCUUUUACCCGGGAUGAUAACGACAGUACCGGGAGAAUAAGCCCCGGCUAACUCCGUG
RNAcentral lists this ribosomal RNA (433 nucleotides) under uncultured bacterium. Its description in RNAcentral is "partial 16S ribosomal RNA". It matches the Rfam family "Bacterial small subunit ribosomal RNA", at positions 29 to 507 of the family's 1533-position model. The record is from RNAcentral.